UGAGAAGGGGCAAAGCUCAGGUGAAGCACCUGCUUUUCAGGCAGAAGGUUCCAGGUUCGAAUCCUGGCUUCUCCA
Molecule: non-coding RNA, 75 nt
Organism: Podarcis lilfordi (Lilford's wall lizard)
Lineage: Eukaryota; Metazoa; Chordata; Lepidosauria; Squamata; Lacertidae
Source: the annotation of a GenBank genome assembly